UAUACAACAUCCAUAAAAGCUAUUACAUAUUUCACAAAAGAAUCCUUCUUUUUCACUUCAUCUUCCUGUACAUAUCACUAUGUUUAAAUAAAUUUAAUACUAUAAAAGAUUAGGAAAUUCAACAAAGUUCAAAAAAGGAUAAAAAAAUAUGUUAUAUAUUAUAUUAUUUAUGUCAUGUUUUAUAUAUAUACAGGGUGAUCCAUUUGAAGAUUUGUAUUUAAUUAUUUCCUAAACUAUAGGUUGCUUAUGAAACUGUUCUAAAUGGAACUGUUUUUUUUUCUAGAUAAGCUUGCAAUCCAUUCAAAGACGAAUUCAUUGACUUAUAAAACUGUGGUCUUUCUAACUUUACCUAUUUGGUAACGAAACAUUCAUUAUUGUGAGUUUGCAUGAUGUUUACGCACAACUCGAGGAAAUAUUCGGACUAGAUCAAUUUUAGGGACAUUUAACGAAGGUAAAUUUUGAGCGGCAUUAAAUGACCUUGACGACCUUGAAAGACCAAAGUAUUAUAGGUCAAUGAAUUCGCAUUAGAAUGGACUACAAGCUUAUCUAGAAAAAACGUAAUAUUUCACUUAAAAAAGUCAAGGUCACCUUAAAAUCUCGGAGCACAUCCACCUAGAGAGAAUUUCUGACUAUCAUAAGAUAUUCUCCUCGAAACAGAGUACGCAUCUUUUCUGAAAGUAUAUUUUGGUGGAUUUUGGCAUGGGAGCAUCCACAAAAUUGGAUGACCCUUACCACAAACCUGAGACAGUAACACAAAAAAUACCUAGAAAUUGGUCUACCAGUACUGCGAUGACAAACAUGCCAAACAACGCUGAUUCCAACACCAAUAUAACGCAGUGCAAGCUGUAGAAAAAAUUGUCAUUAAAAUCAACUUCUUUUUAUUAACAACCUAUUUCUAUAUUUACAUUAGAUAAUGUUUUUAAACUUAUUGAAAAUUAAUUAAAUGAUUUUUAAAUAAUAUUCGUAUAAAACAUACAUGCGCGUUUGUUUGACGGCCAUAUCAUUGCUACAAUGAGAACAUUCUAUAACCCAUGACGUUAUCACCAAGCCUAGUGCAUAAAUGGCCAAUAUUCCAACAUAGACCAGAAAUUGGAUAAAGUAUUUUUGAUUUCUUUCUCCCACACAGUUGUUUAUCCUUUGUGCAAUAUUAUUAAUAAUCCAAUGUUACAUAUAUAUAUUGAAAAUCAUAUAUACUUAACAUAUGUAAUAUAGAAUACAUUUCAAGAAACAGAACGACUGAGUUCUUAAGUAAACAAUAUAUGUAAUUUCUGACAUAUAUUUUAAAAUAUUUAAACCAUACAAAAAUGAUCUUAUGUAUUUGUUUAUGAAUUGUGAAAUUAAUCACAUAUAUUCAAGUGUUCUAUUCCUUCAGUAAUACCCAUUGCAUUAUGAGUAAACCAAUUAUUAAUAUGUAAAACUUAUAGAAAUACUAAGCAUUCAAUGGAUAAUAAAUAUUAAAAUUCAAAAAUGA
Non-coding RNA from Megalopta genalis, 1471 nucleotides. NCBI's taxonomy places the organism in Eukaryota, Metazoa, Arthropoda, Insecta, Hymenoptera, Halictidae. The record is from RefSeq and is a predicted model, not a curated record.